Molecule: ribosomal RNA, 257 nt
Filed under: uncultured bacterium
Lineage: Bacteria
Description: partial 16S ribosomal RNA
Rfam family: Archaeal small subunit ribosomal RNA
Source: RNAcentral
UAACACCGGCAGCCCAAGUGGUGGCCAUUUUUAUUGGGCCUAAAGCGUUCGUAGCCGGCCUGAUAAGUCUCUGGUGAAAUCCCACAGCUUAACUGUGGGAAUUGCUGGAGAUACUAUCAGGCUUGAGGUCGGGAGAGGUUAGAGGUACUCCCAGGGUAGGGGUGAAAUCCUAUAAUCCUGGGAGGACCACCUGUGGCGAAGGCGUCUAACUGGAACGAACCUGACGGUGAGUAACGAAAGCCAGGGGCGCGAACCGG